CUGAUCUCCAAGGAUGAAGGCAACUCUAUAGAUCACUGGGGACUCAUCCUGCAGAUAUCAUUCAAGGUAUCCGGUUCAGAAUCUAUCACCAGCUCAGACUGUAGCCUCUGAAGAGAUCUCAGAUGUUUUGUGCCUUAUACAUUUAAUUCUGAGAUCAUAGAGCCCAAGGAGGUUUUGAGGACCCUCUACCCACACCUUCAGAUGUUUUCAGAGGAUUUGCUGGCAGGGCUGGGCCACUGGGCCUUGCUGGGCUCUAAUUUUCCUACCCACGUGUGUCCUAUAGACCGUGAAUUUUCUUCUAAACACUCUUGACUUUUCACUUGUUAAAUUAAAGCAUUUUCUUAAAGAAAAGAUUAAAACCAAGA
This 365-nucleotide long non-coding RNA is filed under the name Homo sapiens (human). Its description in RNAcentral is "HSALNT0115146". The record is from RNAcentral. Lineage: Eukaryota; Metazoa; Chordata; Mammalia; Primates; Hominidae.